This 379-nucleotide unclassified non-coding RNA is filed under the name uncultured bacterium. RNAcentral's name for it is "contains 16S-23S intergenic spacer region". The record is from RNAcentral.
UCCGAGUUGACCCCGGCAGUCUCCCAUGAGUCCCCGCCAUCACGCGCUGGCAACAUGGAACGAGGGUUGCGCUCGUUAAUGGACUUAACCAAACAUCUCACGACACGAGCUGACGACGGCCAUGCAUCAUCUGUCACCGAGCUCAAUAAAGCACUCACUCCUUUCGGAGUAAUUCUCGGGAUGUCAAACCCUGGUAAGGUUCUUCGUUUAUCAUCGAAUUAAGGAACACGAUCCACCGCUUGUGCGGGUCCCCGUCAAUUCCUUUAUGUUUUAGUCUUGCGACCGUACUCCACAGGCGGGAUACUUAACGCGUUAGCUUCGCUACUGAGGGGGUCGAUACCCCCAACAGCUAGUAUCCAUCGUUUACGGCGUGGACUAC